CUGACCUUGGUGUCUUCAGGGACGGACCACCACGACCAUCUCUCUGGGCAACCUGUGCCAGCGCCUCAAUGCCCCUAUGGCUGCACAGCCCCAGCUCUCAGCCUGUCCUUGCAGGGGAGGUGUCCUUCCAGCCUGUGAGACAGGAGAUGGAUGAGGCCUGUGAAUGAACACCAGGUGAGAGAAAACAGCACAUCUCCCACCUGCCAAGCGGCUGUCUGUUGGGGAGCGCAAGGCACAAAUCUGCAGAUAUCAACACCUCACUCAGCACAGUGCUCACAGCCUUUCUGUUGGCACGGAAUGUACGGUACCUUUCUCCAUGUGCCCCUCUGAGCUAAGAAAAGCACACGUAGCAGGAGCUCAGGCUCUCCCUAGGAACGAGUUAUCCUCCAGCAUUAGUAACUCCA
This 404-nucleotide long non-coding RNA is filed under the name Gallus gallus (chicken). The record is from RNAcentral. Lineage: Eukaryota; Metazoa; Chordata; Aves; Galliformes; Phasianidae.